Small nucleolar RNA from Ornithorhynchus anatinus (platypus), 137 nucleotides. NCBI's taxonomy places the organism in Eukaryota, Metazoa, Chordata, Mammalia, Monotremata, Ornithorhynchidae. The record is from RefSeq and is a predicted model, not a curated record.
CCCCUCUCAGGAUCACACCUGGAGAGUUUCCAUACUCUGCCAGUUUUGACUAUGAGAGGGAGAGUCAAGCAGAGGCAUACCCAUUCCAUUCCUAGCUUGGGCAGUAGCUAGCAAGUGGAAGGCAAUCUGCUACAAGU